This is a non-coding RNA of Parasteatoda tepidariorum (common house spider), 958 nucleotides long. NCBI's taxonomy places the organism in Eukaryota, Metazoa, Arthropoda, Arachnida, Araneae, Theridiidae. The record is from RefSeq and is a predicted model, not a curated record.
AAUGGAACAAGAAGUUGAAUGGAAUCAGAUGUAAUGAAAGGAAUCUCUAAAUAGAAGUGGAUGAAAGAAAAGAGAAACACCAUGAAAGGAAGGGAAAAGAAGAAUGUUUUCCGAUUGCAGCAAAAUUUCUUUUCAGGGUUUGGAAUGGAACGAGAAGUGGAAUGGAAUCAGAUGUAAUGAGAGGAAUCUCGAAAUAGAAGUGCAUGAAAGAAAAGAGUAACACCAUGGAAGCAAGGGAAAAGAAGAAAGUUUUCCGAUUGCUGUAAAAUUUCUUUUCUGGGUUUGGAAUGGAACGAGAAGUGGAAUGGAAUCAGAUGUAAUGAAAGGAAUCUCGAAAUAGAAGUGGAUGAAAGAAAAGAGAAACACCAUGAAAGGAAGGGAAAAGAAGACUGUUUUCCGAUUGCAGAAAACUUUUAUUUCAGGGUUUGGAAUGGAACGAGAAGUGGAAUGGAAUCAGAUGUAAUGAAAGAAAUCUCGAAAUAGAAGUGGAAGAAAGAAAAGAAAAACACCAUGAAAGGAAGGGAAAAGAAGAAAGUUUUCCGAUUGCUUUAAAAUUUCUUUUCAGGGUUCGGAAUGGAACGAGAAGUGGAAUGGAAUCAGAUGUAAUGAGAGGAAUCUCGAAAUAGAAGUGGAUGAAAGAAAAGAGAAACACCAUGAAAGGAAGGGAAAAGAAGAAAGUUUUCCGAUUGCUGUAAAAUUUCUUUUCAGGGUUCGGAAUGGAACGAGAAGUGGAAUGGAAUCAGAUGUAAUGAGAGGAAUCUCGAAAUAGAAGUGGAUGAAAGAAAAGAGAAACACCAUGAAAGGAAGGGAGAAGAAGAAAGUUUUCCGAUUGCUGUAAAAUUUUAUUUCAGGGUUUGGAAUGGAACGAGAAGUGGAAUGGAAUCAGAUGUUAUGAAUGGAAUCUCGAAAUAGAAGAGGAUGAAAGAAAAGAGAAACACCCUGAAAGGAAGGAAAAAGA